GCCGUAAAUAACUUUUGAUUUGUACUCAAGAGUGAAGCAAGACUCCAAGGAAGAGAGAUUGACGCAUCGGGAGCGAAGAACAGAAACGAUGGAUGGUUACGCUGCUUGGGUCUCGGCACGUUCGAAUUGGCAAAGUUCCGAAUUUGUCGCUGUGUUUUGUACGCUUGUGCGCUCGUCAUUUGCCGUCGUCGCGCGGAGAUAUUUGCGCUGGAUGUCUUUCACUUCGUGUACAAAACUCUGCACGCUGCGGCAUCGAAGAAGUUGUCCUGUGUUUGGGUGCACGUAUGCGCUUGGACACGGAUAUAUCCUGCUUGCUCUCAACGGGUGUUCAACAGUCUACGCGCACUCGUAACUUGCUCAUGAGGCAAGUUGCUGUUGUGCUGGAGCUGAGAAGAGGUCUGCUGCCUGCAAUGGGUCCAUCUCUCUCAAGUUAUCGCAGUAUUGUAGCUCUGAAAGUUCAAAAAAGUAUGGUGGAAGCUGUUGCCAAGGUUCCGACCAGAA
Long non-coding RNA from Dermacentor andersoni, 501 nucleotides. RefSeq lists it as uncharacterized. The record is from RefSeq and is a predicted model, not a curated record. Lineage: Eukaryota; Metazoa; Arthropoda; Arachnida; Ixodida; Ixodidae.